CCUACGGGAGGCAGCAGUGGGGAAUAUUGGACAAUGGGCGAAAGCCUGAUCCAGCCAUGCCGCGUGUGUGAAGAAGGCCUUCGGGUUGUAAAGCACUUUCAGUGGGGAAGAAAGCCUUGGGGCUAAUACCCUCGAGGAAGGACAUCACCCACAGAAGAAGCACCGGCUAACUCCGUGCCAGCAGCCGCGGUAAUACGGAGGGUGCGAGCGUUAAUCGGAAUUACUGGGCGUAAAGCGCGCGUAGGCGGUCUGAUAAGCCGGUUGUGAAAGCCCCGGGCUCAACCUGGGAACGGCAUCCGGAACUGUCAGGCUAGAGUGCAGGAGAGGAAGGUAGAGUUCCCGGUGUAGCGGUGAAAUGCGUAGAGAUCGGGAGGAAUACCAGUGGCGAAGGCGGCCUUCUGGACUGACACUGACGCUGAGGUGCGAAAGCGUGGGUAGCAAACAGGAUUAGAUACCCCGGUAGUC
Molecule: ribosomal RNA, 465 nt
Filed under: Vreelandella stevensii
Lineage: Bacteria; Pseudomonadati; Pseudomonadota; Gammaproteobacteria; Oceanospirillales; Halomonadaceae
Description: partial 16S ribosomal RNA
Rfam family: Bacterial small subunit ribosomal RNA
Source: RNAcentral